CUUCCUUAUAAAAAAAUAAGAAAAAUAAAUCGAAAAUAAACAUAUUAAAAAAAUGUAGCAAAAUAUAGUUUAUAAUCCAUAAUUUACAAGGGAAUAUAAAGUGCAUUGUUAAGAGUUUGAGAUGGGGUGUGGGGGUGAUUAAAUUCCUACCCUGACCAAAAGGUGGCGGUAGCCAACGCUGUAACAAUAAGCAGAAGAAGAAGAAAAAGAGGUAUAAGAAGAAGAUUUUGCCUCCCAUUAUUUCUACUCGGUCCGGCGUUAGGUGAUGAAUCACGAAGCCGAGGAGGUGAACUACAGAUUACCGUCCCAGUUCUCAGGUGAGUGGAGCGCACGCAGAUGCUGAUGUCAUGGAAACCUUGCAUCCCCUGAUAGACCCGGAGCAUGACUCAUUGGCUCCUGGGUUUGCAAAGAGAUGCUACAUUCACCUCCUUCUUACGCCUCCUUUCCCACCUCCCCCUCGGUGGUUAAGGAGGAUGAGUGGAGAACACUUCACCUCCUUACACAUACUGUACAUAUUAGAUUCACCUCCCCACAUACUGUAAAUGUCGGAUUCACCUCACAAAUACUGUUGACAAAAGAUGGUUGGUUGCAACGGGAAGUCAGCUAGACUGAAAAUGUAUCUAAUUUUGAUAAUUAAUAAUCAUCACAUCAAGUACAAAUACCAUACAUUGGUUGCUUUAUGCUAUAGGAAUAAACACCUGGGUCGUUUUUCAAUGGUUCAGAAGAGAUUAUGUCUAACUCUAUGCUGUUUCGUUUUUCUUGUAGGUAACCAUGGAGGUAUGGCUGCAUUACAAAACAGUUUAUUUAUUCUGUAAAGAGCUGAGAUGUUUUUGCAUAAUAUUUUUUAAUAUGUCUGAUACAAAUUGUACACCAACAUCCAGACUGGAUUCAUAGCAUGACAAGUGGCCCUAUUGACCGCAUUUGUAUUUCAAAUGAACUAGUGGCUGCAUUGCAGUUCUUUUUAAAUCUUAAUGUAUUGUCUCUAAAUUAUGCACUGUACUUACUUUUAAAUGUUAAUAAAAAAAAGUUUAAUAUA
This is a long non-coding RNA of Gadus macrocephalus (Pacific cod), 1036 nucleotides long. RefSeq lists it as uncharacterized. The record is from RefSeq and is a predicted model, not a curated record. The transcript has 2 exons. NCBI's taxonomy places the organism in Eukaryota, Metazoa, Chordata, Actinopteri, Gadiformes, Gadidae.